GAUCAACCAUACAAGCAUAAUGCUCCACUCUAGCUUUAAUCCUAUGAUCACUACACAACCUAGAGAAGUAUUCUUGACCUUCUUCAAUUAGUCCAGAAUGGCUACAUGCUAAAAGUACAGCCAAGUAAGUAACAUCAUCAGGCUCAAUAUUAUUGGAUUUCAUUUUGUUGAUGAGAAAAACAGCCUCUUUACCAAGACCAUGCUUCCCAUAGCCAUUGAUCAUAAUUGUCCAAGAAAACACAUCUCUCAUUGCCAUUUCUGCGAAAAAUCUCUCGGCCUCACCCAUCAUUCCACACUUGAGAUACAUAUCCACGAUUGAAUUGCAUACUGAUAUUUCUAAACCUGACGGGACUUUGAUGGUAUAAGCAUGCAUUUGCUUGCCUUGCUCCACAAGUGCAAAAUCAGCAAACACACCUAUCAUGCUUGACAGAGCAAACCCAUCUGGUUGGAUGUCGCUCCCUCUAAGCUGCUUAAACAAGUCCAUCGCUUCAGCUAGGUUACCUUCUUGAGCAUUGCCAAGAAUUAGUGCACUCCAUGAUAUCACAUGCUUCUGUUCAAUCUGACCAAACACUCUCCGAGCUUCACAUAACUUCCCACAUUUCACAUAAUGAUCAAUAAGAGCACCAGCAAUACUAGUUGUAAUCAGAUAUGGAAAACCACUAGUGGCCAAGAAAGCAUGAAUUUGGGAUCCUUCCUUUAUUGCACCAAGACCACUACAAGCCUUCAAUAUGCUUGUAAAUGUGAACUCAUCUGGGGCUUGCUCAUUUUCUAGCAUUUUUUGAAACAAAACUACAGCUUUCUUACCCAAUCCUGCAAUAUUGUACCCUGCUAUCAUUGAAUUCCAACUUACAAGAUUUCUAACUGGCAUAACAUCAAACAUGCGGGCAGCUUCAUUAAUCCUUCCACACUUUGAGUACAUAUUAACUAUAGAAUUGCCCACUACAAUCACCAUGUCAAAUCCAGUUUUCACACAAGUAUCAUGAAUCUGCAUCCCAGUAUCAGAAAGAUUCAACAUACUACACGCUUUAAGAUUCAUCGAAAAAGUGAACUGAUUCGGUUUUACAUCAGAUAAUCCCAUUUGAGAUAGUAGAAAUAAUGACUCUUCGGCAUUGUCAUUCUGUAUGUGCCCACACAUAAGAGCUGUCCAAGAAACCACAUUUCUUUCAAGCAUUCUAUCAAACACAGCACAAGCAGCAUUCACUCUACCACAUUUCCCAUACAUAUCUAUAAGAUCAUUGUUCAACAUCAAAUCAAAUCCAAGCCCUCCUUUUACUACGGCUCCAUGCACUUGCAGUCCUUGAUUAAGUAACCAUUUUUUCGAACAGCAUCGCAACAGUUCUGCAAGUCUUUGCCUCUCACUCAAAACUGAGAACGAAAACUUCUUCAUAGUUUAUCAGAGACCAAAAUUCUCAACGUCACGGUCAAUAAUGGCAAAGGAAUUGGAGCCUUGAAAUCAAAGAACUGGAAAAUCUCUUUGUACCCAUUUUGCGAAAUUGCAAGAACAUAGAAGAACUGAAGAGAAACCAUGCUCUCAUUAUCAAGUACUCACUGUCACAGAGCAGCUUCCUGGUGAAAAAAAAUUGUUGAUGCGUGUGAUAGUAGCGAGGAUAUGAAUUAUCCAGGCUUGAUUUUGAAGCAAGUCGUAGAAUCAAAUACCUUUUUGUACAAUGCAGUGAUACAACCCUCUACACCGGCCUAGAGAUGAUGGCUCUUUGUAAGCAAAUGCUAAAGCAAAAUUCCCAACGAAGUGAAAACCCCAUUUUGCCGACGAAUUCACGUUCCCAUCUGUGGUAGAAUCCUGUGCAAGGCUUGUGCUCCAUAAUCAAGGUAAGCAAGUCCAUGCCCAUUUCUUAAAAUUUGGGCCAGAGUUCCAUCACAGAGAAUGCGAUGAUUGAU
Molecule: unclassified non-coding RNA, 1896 nt
Filed under: Hevea brasiliensis (rubber tree)
Lineage: Eukaryota; Viridiplantae; Streptophyta; Magnoliopsida; Malpighiales; Euphorbiaceae
Source: RNAcentral